This is a long non-coding RNA of Sapajus apella (tufted capuchin), 5488 nucleotides long. RefSeq lists it as uncharacterized. The transcript has 2 exons. NCBI's taxonomy places the organism in Eukaryota, Metazoa, Chordata, Mammalia, Primates, Cebidae. The record is from RefSeq and is a predicted model, not a curated record.
UCACAAAGUGUUGGGAUUACAGAUGUGAGCCACCGCACCUGGCUUGGUUUGGAGUUUUUUUUAAAAGGUCAUAAAAUGUUGAAAGUUAGUAGUUGGGGUAAGUGUUAUAUUUUUGAAGAGCUGGUAACUGCCUUUAUUAUGUGACUUGAGAGAUUGUAGGGAGAUUUCCCUGCUUGGAAUUCUGCCCUUAGAGAUUUGUAGGGGACCCUUUUCAAAUGUAAGCACUGUGUUCAGGAAGGGUCUAUGUCAGAUGAGGUCAUGAGAUCGAUCCUUGGCAAGACCCCAGCAGGAAAGUAUGGGGAUCCCCAAAACAGCACAGCAGAAACCCAGGGGUCUCAAGAGAGAAGAGCUGGUGAGCUGGUGGGGGGAGUGUGUCCCCUUCAUGAUCUAGUUCCACCCUGACCUGGUUAGAAGGCUGCCUUCUUGUUCAAAGGAUAGUUUGUUUAUUUGGAAGAAGAUGGUUUAUUGCCUUUUUUUAAUAGCUGAAACUUUUAAUUCCAUCUCCUUGGUCCCAUUAGACCCUUGAAAUAAAAUUGCGCCCUUUCAGAAGGGUCUGUCCUCAUUUUGGCAAAGCCUGGGUGGUCAGUUGUUUGACUCAAAAGAGGGUGUUGUUUGUGUCUCAGCGGGAUACAGGCAGCUGUGAGGAGCCCACUGUCCCCUCCUCACAGGCCACCCCUCCCAUCGGAGACCUCUCCCUACACACCGCAGGCACAGGGUCUUGGGUGCUGGCCUGAAAUGGGUCUGCUGAUUUACCACAUCGUUCCAGAUCUCAGUGCUCCAAAGCCCCUUGCUUUAUCCAGUUGCCAAAAAUCGGACAGUUCUGCUCCUGGCCCUGAGCCUUACAGAGCUGCUUAGCAUACAGCUGGGAGCAGCCAGUGCCUGCCUCUGCGCCUGCUCUGGGGGUGAAAUAAUACCAUCUUGUGAGGCAGGGUGGUUUGGAAGAAAAUGGAAAGAGUAAAGGAAUCCUGGGAUUUGCAGGAACCCCAAGGAGGAUGAGGACACUCAUUUUACAGAUGAGGGAGGGCAUCUUAUUCCUGCUGAAGCCUCUUCCUUUUCUAAUCUCAGAGCUUCCAUGAAAGUGGAUUUCUUGUGCUGUCAUUUUCACCCGGCUGGUAACACACGUCAAGUUCUCAAAAAUGUCAAAUUGGGCUCCUGCCCUAACCAUUAUUGCCACUUCACUAGGCCAUUCUCCAUUUGAAGAAUAGGAAGAGAAGGGAGAAAAUUUUCCCAGAGGAAACACUGCCUCUGUGAUACUAUUUAUUCGGCUUGGCUGUAAAGUGUGGAAAGUAAUGCAUGUUUAAAAGAAAAGAUGCGUAAUUUACAGCUUCUUAAUUCAUAAAGAAUUUGGUGAAUCAUGUUGGCCCUGUUGGAUUCUGGAGAAGUCUGAAAAUUGGCCAGAGUCAGCAAAGGUUUUUAGAAAGCUAUGCAUUUUAAUCUACUUGAAAGUUUUGGACUCAGAGCGUCCUUUAACUUUGAAAGUAUACAUAUGAAACACUGGUGUAUGGAAAUUUCCACUCUGUCUCGACCAGCUGAGACUGUCCUGUGAAUGAAAGAAACCUCAGGCAUUGCCUCUAUUCCUAAAGCAUCAUUUUUCGUAAAUAAAUAAAAUGAAGAAGGGCUUUGGAUUAUCUGCUUUUUAAGUGUUUCAGUAAAUAUCUAUGUUUUCCAAAUCUGGGAAGGUAAGAAAGUUAGUCUCUUGGCUUUCAACUAGUUCAGAUUUAGCUUCCAAUUGCAGGCUGAGCUAGGGCCUCAUGAUAAGAUGUAUUUAUAUUCCCUUCUCAGGGAAUAUAAGAGAAGCCUUAGCUGGGUGACUUGGCCUGGGAGUUAGCCUCUCAAACCUUGCUUGUCCCUUCUGUACAAUGGGACCAUAUCACCUAGUUUGCCUGCUUUACAGGGUUGUUGGAGAGUCAAUUGAGCGUUCCACACAGAAGUGCUUUGGAAGCUAAAACUCUCCAGAACACAUUUCAGUAUUGAUACUCCUACCCCCUUGGCUCUGUUACUGGCUCCACAUGACCUAAAGGAGCCAUUUUUUCCUACAGACCUGGAGCUCCUCUGCUCAGGGAGUCCACAGGAGCUGCUGCUGUCCUGGGGCUCAGGACAUACUGGGUCCUGAAUCCUCAGGUCUACUUCUGCUGUGGUCUCAAAUUGCCUCACUAGACUCCUUCCCCUGGGAACUCGUUUCUAAGGAAACUGCUUCUCUUUGUGUUCCCAACAGCUGGAGAUGUGUUUUGAUCCCAGCCCACUGGCAUACAUUUGUCCUGUGUUUAUUUACUUGGAAACCUAAGCUCCUGUAGGCCCUGGGUUGGAAAGUCGUAUACACGCACACUCUCCCCCUCCAAGGGGUAACGAGAAAGGCACGCCAGAGCCGAAUGCUCUGCCAGGCUGAUGCAAGCCAUCCAGGAGCAUGGAGGACCAGGAAGCCCCUGCUUCAGAGAUAUGCUGUGAAAUACAUUUGUCCUGGGGAAAUGUGAACUCCUGUGUCCUCCUAAAGAAGGAGUCACAGGAGUUUUUAGGACCAAAGGCCACUUCUGGGGGUGAGCAAGACCCGAGAGUAUCCCUGGGGAUUCAGGCAAACAGAAAACAAGAUGCGUGAAGUAGGGGGCAAGGGAGGAGAGGAGGAACCAACAAAGGGAUUUUGGAGCUAGAAUAGAAUGCAACCCUCUGCUACCUGUGCUACCACCAAACAGCAGCAGCCAUGUGUGUGGCAUGUAGCAGGUUAGCAUGCUUUGCCUCAUGGUGAGGCAUCCGCCCUCACAGCCUCCCCUGGUGUAGCUAUGAGCACUCCACAGUCCCCUCUUAUGGACCAGGAUGGCGAUCCCAGAGAGGUUGAGGGGUGGUUAAGAUCAAAUCAGCAACAAGGGGGAGUUGCAUGAGGCUACCUUAGUUACAAGGGGCUUACGAUUCACUCAGCUCACCUCUGGUAACAAGAGCCAGCGGGCAGGAGAACUGUGGGAGUGAAGACAAAAGGAUGGCAGGCCAGUGAAGACCAGGAAACGCCAGGAAAAGCCAGGCCCCAUGGGAAGCGUGUAACCCACAGCACAGCCAAGUCACAUGGAAACUAGAAGUUGUUGAGACUUAGAGCCACAUCCAGCACCCAAGUAUCAGUGGCCAGGCUGCACCAGUGUUCUCAGUUCUCUUCAGCCAUCUUCAGAGACACCAACCUUGGAUUGAGCCCUUCUCAUGCUUCACUCCUCUCCUUCUUCCAUCUCAUUUCUCUAGCCUAGCUGGAAAGGGCUCCACUUUUAAGGACUUAUGUCAUUAGAUUGAGCUCACCCACCCAGAUAAUCCUCCAUAGUCUCCCCUCUCAAGGUCUGUAACCUUACUCACAUUCACAAAGUUCCUUUUGCCAUACGACGUAACAUAGUCACAGGUCCCAGGGAUUAAGAAAUGGACAACUUUGGGGUCCGUCAUUUUUGCCUACUACAAUGUAACCAAGGACGACUUACUCAGCAUGGGGCAGAGAGGACUAUGGAGAGGAUGUGGGUGUGACAGGCAUUCUGACACUUGGCUAUUCCACUUACAGGUGCUUGCCACUGUGCAUUCUACUGUGCAGUGGCACCAAAACAUGGCUGUCCUGUCCCUGAUCUGCAAAACCAAGUGGCCAGUCAAACAUUUUGUUCUUCUUCUUCUGCUAGUGACUCAUCCAUCCAUCAUUCAUUCAUUCACUCAAUAAACAUUGACUUAGUACUUUCGGUAUAGUAGGAACUAGAAAUCAAAUGCUGAGCUAAAAUAGACACCAUCAGUCCUCACAGAGCUCACAGACUGCAAGGGAGACAGGCGUUCAUCCUAAAACCACACAAAUGUGUGUGAAGUCACAGCUGCAUCACAUCCUACAAUGGGCGGGUGGGGACAUGGCGCUGUCCAGGCAUUGAAUGGGGUAGUUGGCAAGUCUGGAAGUCAGAGAAGUGUUGAUUGCACCAGAUCUAAAGGGAAAGAGGAGAAGGAAGAACACUCAGGCAUAGAGAACAGGACAUACAAAGCCCUGCAGCAGGAGGGAGCACAGCGAGCAGGAAGGAGAACCAGGGAAGCUGAAGCAGGGUGGGCUGAGGGAGGAAGGAAAGAGCUGAAUCCAGUGAUGUGGGGAGGCAGGGAGUGGGCCCUGGGGAGCCUCCCAGACCCUGUUAAAGAUCCCUGGGAGGCACUAAAGGACUUAAAGCAAAAGAGGCAUGUUUACAGGGCAUCCUGGACCUGGACAUUUUGCAGUGGAGGAAUCACUUUGGCAACAACAUAGAGAGUGGAGAAGGUCUUCAACUAGAUGUGGAUAGACCAGCUAAUCAGAGGCUACUGCACUGAUCCAAGUGCAAGAUAAACCAAGGAGCAAGUAUUUAUGGGACAUCAACCAUGUGCAAGGAGCAGUUACAGUUGGGGUCAGGGGCAGCGAUGAGGGAGCAAUUACAAAGACGUGGAAGACUCAUUGCUGUGCUUUCAAUUGCUUGCUGCCUGGUUAGCAACAGAAGACUCAAACUUGAAAGGCUUAACACCAACAAGGAGAGAGAUACUAAUAGCUCAGUGCAGCCAUACAGGACUUGUCAUUGGCUGGGAUGUGUUAAAUUAGCAAUCUGAAAAAUGUGGGGAGGAACGAAACCAGCAAGAGUGGGGUUGGGAGCAGCUUCCCAGAAGAGCAGAGGAGGGGAGAGGAGAGGUGGGUGCUGUCUUUUGGGGUAGAAGCAGAUGUGGCAGAAGUCAGGCUCUGGGGACAGCAGGAGGAGACAGUUACAAGUGAGGUGACACGUUAGAAAGUGUGUAAAAGCCUGAGAGCAAGAGGCUCACUCUAUGGUGAACCACCUAUUUGGCAGGAGCAGAGGGCUUAGGGAGGCGAGGAGCUUGGGGACGGCAAAGUGUUUCUCCAGAUGUCCCCGUUGUGGGGAAAGCAAAGCUUCUCUGAUGGCUGCCAAGGCAGGUUUGCCCGACCUGCUGUCUCCAUGCAAGGUCCCAUCAGGCGCACCCAAUGCAAGAGCACAGCCAGGUGCAUCCGCCGGCCACCUGUCAGCUGAGCUCAUCUGCUGUGAGCCCCGCCCUCACUGUGAGUCAGAGGAGCUGCUGCAGCUGUGUCCCACAGCUGGUGCCCAGCACUGCGCCCCUGCUGGGGGUGGCUAACGUUUACUAAGGCGGUGGUUCUCAGCCUCGGCCACUCGUGGAGUCACCUAAGGGCUUUAAAAGUUACUAACGCCUGGGUCCCACACCAGAAAAUUCUGGUUUAAUUGAUCUAGGGUGCAGCCUGGGCUUUGGGUUUAAAAAAAAAAAAAAGCUUCGGGAAUGAUGCCAACGUGUAGCUGAGGUUCAGAACUAUUGAGGAAUUAACAACACAUCCGUUCCUGACUGCCUUAGCAGGAGCUGUUUACAUUGCGAGAAGCACCCCCGAAUGCCUUAUGGAAGCUUACCUUCUUAUCCUCUGCCCAUUUGGAAAAACCUGUAUCUGCCCUCCCUUUAGGCAUUUUUAUUUGUUAGGCUUUUAAUUGGCAUAUGCAAAUAAAUGUCAUUAAAAAGG